RNAcentral lists this ribosomal RNA (536 nucleotides) under uncultured bacterium. RNAcentral's name for it is "bacterial LSU rRNA". It matches the Rfam family "Bacterial large subunit ribosomal RNA", at positions 1881 to 2412 of the family's 2925-position model. The record is from RNAcentral.
GACGGACCGUUAACCCCUCGGGGUGAAGCGGAGAAUUAAGCCCCAGUAAACGGCGUGGUAACUAUAACCAUCCUAAGGUAGCGAAAUUCCUUGUCGGGUAAGUUCCGACCUGCACGAAUGGCGUAACGACUUCUCAACUGUCUCAACCAUAGACUCGGCGAAAUUGCACUACGAGUAAAGAUGCUCGUUACGCGCGGCAGGACGAAAAGACCCCGGGACCUUCACUACAACUUGGUAUUGGUGUUUGGUUCGGUUUGUGUAGGAUAGGUGGGAGACUGUGAAGCAGGCACGCCAGUGUUUGUGGAGUCAUUGUUUGAAAUACCACUCUGAUCGUAUUGAACCUCUAACCUCGAACCGUGAACCCGGUUCAGGGACAGUGCCUGGUGGGUAGUUUAACUGGGGCGGUUGCCUCCCAAAAUGUAACGGAGGCGCCCAAAGGUUCCCCUCAACCUGGACGGCAAUCAGGUGUUGAGUGCAAGUGCACAAGGGAGCUUGACUGCAAGACGGACAUGUCAAGCAGGGACGAAAGUCGGGAC